CCCCAGUGUAAAUGUAUAGGCAGGACCCCCA
Molecule: non-coding RNA, 31 nt
Filed under: Homo sapiens (human)
Lineage: Eukaryota; Metazoa; Chordata; Mammalia; Primates; Hominidae
Source: RNAcentral